Non-coding RNA from Pimephales promelas (fathead minnow), 239 nucleotides. The record is from RefSeq and is a predicted model, not a curated record. NCBI's taxonomy places the organism in Eukaryota, Metazoa, Chordata, Actinopteri, Cypriniformes, Leuciscidae.
AUGAUGAUGAAGACAUGGUGACCAUAAAGAACUGCUCUGGGGAUUCUGGAACAACUGUUGGCGUUUCACGACACACUGUUGAGUCUUUGGUUGAUUACUCAGACAGUGAAGACGACAUUUUGUGUUCUAAAAUGAUGAUGACAUCUUAUAAACGGAUGAGACCUGCAACUCAUGAGGACUCUGAUAAUUACUCUGAUAAUUCCAGUGUAGAUGAGAGUACAGACAUUCAAGGUGACAUC